This 346-nucleotide ribosomal RNA is filed under the name uncultured eukaryote. RNAcentral describes it as "SSU rRNA". It matches the Rfam family "Eukaryotic small subunit ribosomal RNA", at positions 594 to 945 of the family's 1831-position model. The record is from RNAcentral.
AUAGCGUAUAUUAAAGUUGUUGCAGUUAAAAAGCUCGUAGUUGAACCUUGGGCCUGGCUGGCCGGUCCGCCUCACCGCGUGCACUGGUCCGGCCGGGCCUUUCCUUCUGGGGAGCUGCAUGCCCUUCACUGGGUGUGUCGGGGAACCAGGACUUUUACUUUGAAAAAAUUAGAGUGUUCAAAGCAGGCCUAUGCUCGAAUACAUUAGCAUGGAAUAAUAGAAUAGGACGUGCGGUUCUAUUUUGUUGGUUUCUAGAGCCGCCGUAAUGAUUAAUAGGGAUAGUCGGGGGCAUCAGUAUUCAAUUGUCAGAGGUGAAAUUCUUGGAUUGAUUGAAGACUAACUACUG